Molecule: ribosomal RNA, 813 nt
Filed under: uncultured bacterium
Lineage: Bacteria
Description: bacterial SSU rRNA
Rfam family: Bacterial small subunit ribosomal RNA
Source: RNAcentral
AGAGUUUGAUCAUGGCUCAGAUUGAACGCUGGCGGCAUGCUUUACACAUGCAAGUCGAACGGCAGCGCGGGGGCAACCCUGGCGGCGAGUGGCGAACGGGUGGGUAAUACAUCGGAACGUGUCCCGUAGUGGGGGAUAACCCGGCGAAAGCCGGACUAAUACCGCAUAUGCUCCACGGAGGAAAGUGGGGGACCCGCAAGGGCCUCAUGCUAUGGGAGCGGCCGAUGUCCGAUUAGCUUGUUGGCGGGGUAAAGGCCCACCAAGGCGACGAUCGGUAGCUGGUCUGAGAGGAUGAUCAGCCACACUGGGACUGAGACACGGCCCAGACUCCUACGGGAGGCAGCAGUGGGGAAUUUUGGACAAUGGGGGCAACCCUGAUCCAGCCAUGCCGCGUGAGUGAAGAAGGCCUUCGGGUUGUAAAGCUCUUUUGGUCGGAAAGAAAAGGCUUCGUCGAAUAAGCGAGGCUCUUGACGGUACCGGCAGAAUAAGCACCGGCUAACUACGUGCCAGCAGCCGCGGUAAUACGUAGGGUGCGAGCGUUAAUCGGAAUUACUGGGCGUAAAGAGUGCGUAGGCGGUUCUUUGUGUCCGCUGUGAAAGCCCCGGGCUUAACCUGGGGAAUGGCAGUGGAAAACUAGAGAACUCGAAUCUGGCAGAGGGGGGUGGAAUGCCCGUGUAGCAGUGAAAUGCGUAGAGAUGUGGCGGAACACCGAAUGGCGAAGCAGCCCCCUGAGCUGAGAUUGACACUCAGCUCGAAAGCGUGGGGAGCCAACAGGAUUAAGAUCCCUGGUAUCCAAGCGCCUAAUCAAGGUCA